This 253-nucleotide unclassified non-coding RNA is filed under the name uncultured Acidobacteriota bacterium. Its description in RNAcentral is "uncultured Acidobacteria bacterium contains 16S-23S intergenic spacer region". It matches the Rfam family "Bacterial small subunit ribosomal RNA", at positions 524 to 776 of the family's 1533-position model. The record is from RNAcentral. Lineage: Bacteria; Pseudomonadati; Acidobacteriota.
UACGUAGGGGGCAAGCGUUGUUCGGAAUUACUGGGCGUAAAGGGCGCGUAGGCGGCCUGUUUAGUCGGACGUGAAAUCCCCGGGCUCAACCCGGGAACUGCGUCCGAUACUGGCAGGCUUGAAUCCGGGAGAGGGAUGCGGAAUUCCAGGUGUAGCGGUGAAAUGCGUAGAUAUCUGGAGGAACACCGGUGGCGAAGGCGGCAUCCUGGACCGGCAUUGACGCUGAGGCGCGAAGGCUAGGGGAGCAAACGGG